GUGCACUGAACAGAGGCAGCAAGUGAGCAGAACAACUCAUCAUGACGGCUUUUUGUCCUUGUCUCCAUGCAAGCCAGGUGUUAUUUCUGUGGUUUCGGACGUUGGUAUUGAUGCACGGUUUUUUAAAAGGGGAGGCUAAAGUCCCAGAGUUUGGUAGACUGCACCUCUCCAGAUGAGAUUUUAAGAGCCCCCGAUUUUCACACAUGGGGAGAGUGAUUGCCCUCACAAACUCUUCCUCCUCAUUGUGGUUUCUAGGUUUUCACUUUGUCAGACAUUUUGAGUUUCGAUCACAAACACUCCACGUUCACAUCACCCAUGCAUGCUGCCCACCCGUAUCCACAAGGCUGCUGUGUCUACUCUGCUCCUGUUUUCCAAAGCACCCCUUCCAUCAGGAAAUGUGCCUUCCAUUCCUAGGGAUGUCAUGAUUCCCAGCUUUCAUAUCUCCUCACAGAGGAGGUUCCCAAAUUACUCUGGGUUCUCAGUCCAGAAGUUGAGCCUUUAAAACCCUUUUCUGUCAUAUGGUCAGUCCGUUGCAGGGUGCAGCCCCUCAGCAGCCAAGAUUCCCUGUGGAUAGCUCUUCAAUCUGAUUGCCUGGGCUUUCUCCAUCAUGAAACCUUUCAUCUCCUUGGUCCUUGUCACACACCCUGAACCCCAAAAUAGAAAAGCCACAACAGAAUGAAGUAGAUGAGAAACAAUCUCCUUGUUUAUAAUUCCGUUUAUUUCCUCACAUACCAGCCAAGCUUCUCAGUCAGGCAGACACAAUAGAUGGAAUGGCAAGGGAAGUGAAGAGUGGAGGCUGCAUCCCUUCAGCCGCCAGCUGAUGUUCUGCUUAUUUCGCAUACCGGAACUCCCAGGCGUCCUCAAACCACAAUCACAGUUGUUGGUUCCAGAAACAUCUUCUUUGGAAAAACAUGUGACAUCAGUUUCCUCAGAGUCUUCCGGACAAUCCAGUCACACAGAACUGACAAAACCUUGUCAGGUGAGAAGAUAAGGAUCUUCUUCAAUACAGAAUAUGUCAACAUCUCCUUCUGAAUAGUUCCGUUUAUUUGCUCACAUACCAGCCAAGCUUCUCAGUCAGCAGGCACAAUAGACUGAAUAGGAAGGGAAGUGAAGAGUGAAGUCUGGAUCCGUUUAGCCUCCAGCUGAUGUUCUGCUUAUUUCCUGUACUGGAACUCUCAGAAGUCCUCAAACCACAAUCACAGUUGUUGGUUCCAGAAACAUCUUCUUUGGAAAAACAUGUGACAUCAGUUUCCUCAGAGUCUCCCGGACAAUCCAGUCACGCAGAACUGACAAAACCUUGUCCAGUAAGAAGGUAAGAAUCUUCUUCAAUAGAGAAUACGUCAACGUCUCCGUGAACGAAGAGAUCUGCUGGUUCCAAGGACUUGUCGUGGAUUUCUGUCCUAGAUACUUUCUUCCGUAAUUCAAGAUAAAGAAAAUUACAAUCUCUGCUGUCCAUUCCAUCGCUUUUCCCUUCAGAAUCAUAAUCAGAGAAUCCUUGCAGAACGUCGUGAGUGUGCUCUCAGCUGCAAUCACCAGAAGGACUCUUCACACUCGGUGAGUCCUCCUCAUUUUAUAGAAGCCAAAGCAGUGACGUAUGCUCACCCCUCCCGCCCCCAGGAGAGAGGUUGCUGGCCAAUGAGCUUGAGCUUCGUCAUCCUUCCAAGCCCCACCCAGUUCCUUUGCUUCCCUUUCACCAACUUUGACUGAAAUGAAUAGGUUACAACCUUUAGCUUUCUGCCCCUUGGAAAACGGAAGCAUUUAGACAUCCGUAUUAAUAUUUGGAUCUAGAGUGUUCGUGUUUUAGCACUUCCUUUUUUGAAAGGAGAAGCAGACGUGUUGUGUUUUUAGGAACACUUCCAAGAAGUUUCUCCUCCUCUAUGAUGAAACCAACACAAGAAAGCCAAAAGGGCGUUUAACCCCUUGAAGCACUGAGAGUUUCCCUGCUGAUAUUCUUAGACUGUUCUUUUUCUAAAACGAGAAAGAGGUAAGUUCUCUUUUUUUUUUUACACUGCCCAAAACUCUCUCUGCUCAGUGCUGGGCACUGGAAAACAAUGGCCCUCUCUCUGGAAACCACUAUCUGCCAUCUCAAGGGCCCACUACAGGUCUGCCCAGCAUUUUCAUCCCUUCCUCAAGUCUGGUGCCCAGGACCCUCCUCUGCUCUGACAGCCAGGCAGCAGCACUCAAACUCCCCUCCCCUCUUAGCCUUCAUACCUUCAGCUGCACUUCUGCCUCUGCAGUGUCAGGAUGACCUCCCCUUCCUCCUGUCCUUCCUCAUUCUUAAGACUUCCUACCCCUUCUGGAUUAAUUUAUGGAAAACCUAAAUAAUCUCUUUCAAAUUUUAGCCCACUUUUUACAUGUAGAUUGUUUUAUAAGAUGAAUUUUAACAAACCUUUUCUAAGUUGUUCAACCAUUUUCUUUUGUCUUUUUGUUAUUUUAUUUCCUGAAUUUAAAAUAUUUGAAAACCUCUAAACUUGACAAAACUAAUUUUUUCAUAAAAGCUAUGUUCUCAUGUCCUUUUAUAAACUUUGACUUAAAAUAUAUUUUACUUGUUCAGUCAGAUUUGUGUGUGAAAAUUUUUAAGUAGCUUUAGAUACAAAUAUUAAUUAUAAUGGUAACUCUUAAGUAUGCAUUUUUAGUAAACCACUUAGGAGACAACCAAUUUUAAUUAUGUCCUUGAUGUAGAGCUUAAAGAAAAAGAUGGAGCUGUAGAAAACAUCUUAGUCUUGAAAUAUCUUACUCUUCCCAGUAUAAGGGGGGGCAUGGCCCUAUUUCACAGGUGCCCAGGCCUUAGCUAGAAAUGGAUGGUUCCAAGACAUGUCAAAAAACUGUUUGAAAGGUUUUAGAAGUUGUUAAUGACAUGAAAAUAUUUAGUAAAGGCAGUAUUUGAUCUGUCUAAUUUGGAUCCAAUAUCUAAACUCUGAAGACAUAUUUAUUUUAUUUUGCUAAUUUUAAAAGUGGCUUUAUUUUUUAAAAUAAUGUUUAUGUUUCUUUCAAUAGUGUGUGGAAUAUAUGUGGUUUUUGGUUAUGUGGAUAAAAGUUCCUUAGUGGUAAUUUCUGAGAUUUUGAGGCAUCUGUCUCCUGAGCAGUGUAUAAUAUACCCAAUAUGUCAUCAUUUAUUCCUCAUCCCCCUCCCAACCUUUCCCCGAGUCCCCAAGUCCAUUAUAUCAUUCUUAUGCCUUUGCAUUCUCAUAGCUUAACUCUCAUUUAAAAGUGAAAACAUUCAAUAUUUGAUUUGCCAUUCCUCAGUUACUUCACUUAGAAUAAUGGCUUCCAGUUCCAUCCAACUUGUUGCAAAGGACAUUAUUUUGUUCCUUUUUAUUAUCAAGUAUUAUUCCAUGGUGUACCACAUUUGCUUUAUCCACUCGUUCGUUGAUGGGCACUUAAGUUGGUCCCAUAUCACUGCAAUUGCGAAUCGGCUGCUAUAAACAUCCAUAUUCUUGUGUCUUUUUUAUGGAAUAACUUCUUUUCCUUUGGGUAGAUAGCCAGUAAUGGGAUUGCUGGAAUGAAUGGUCUACUUUUAGUUCUUUAAGGAAUCCCCAUACUGUUUACCAUAGUGGUCGGACUAGUUUAAAUUCCCACUAGCAGUGUCAAAGUGCUCCCUUUUGACCACAUCUAUGCCAACAUCUAUUGUUUUCUGACUUUUAAAUUAUGGGCUUCUAGCAAGAUUAAGAUAGCAUCUCAUUGUGGUUUUGUUGUGGGAUUUAGGAGGAUGAGAGAGAGGCUUUGGGUUAAAACAGGAGAAUCUUUUAUUGAGUGCUCUCAGGCCCAGCAGACUCACGUCCAAAGACAGGGCCUGGAACAAAGACAGCACUUGACUUUUAUACACACUUCACAAAAGGGGGUGGGCCAGCUUGAAGCAAGCUUACAGUGGUGUGAAAGCAGGGAUACAGAGGCAGGAAAAAGACAGUUAAUCAAAUUGUAACAGGUUCAUAACUCAGGAUUGCACAUAACUGUUGCUAUGCAACCCAGAUGUCUAUUAUCUAGGUUUUGCUCUAAAGAGGCUUGCAUUGGUUUAUCUUCACUAUGGUGCCUAGAGAGCUGUAGUUCAGGCCUGCUCAGGCUUCUCAUGACCUUUGCCAUACUUCUUAGAUAAAACAGAAUACUUGAAGUUACUAGUUAAAGAGAACAAGAAUCUAUAAACUCAUACCAUAAAACAAAGGAAAAUUUGUUUUUCUUCUCCCUACAUUGAAGGAGUGCUGGAAGAGUCUCCAGAAUACAAUAAAUAAUAUUAUCAAGACUUUUCCUGGGUCUGGGCUGUGCCUGUUGCUGCCUCUGGGACAAGUUAGCUUAAUACAAGAAAGCUUAUUUCCCUUUCUUUUUAAUUUUAUUUUUCUUUAAUUUCCCACCUCAGUUUUACUUUGCAUUUCCCUGAGAAUUUUUAAUAAGUAAAAUACUUAGAAAUAUACUUAACCAAGUAGGUUAAUGUAAGUUUCCUACAAGGAAAACUACAAAAUAGUGCUGAAAGAAAUCACAGUUGACACAAACAAAUGGGAACACAUUAUAAGCUUAUGAAUAGGUAGAAUCAAUAUUGUGAAAGUGACCAUACUCUCCAAAGCCAUCUACAGAGCAGUAGAAUUCUCAUCAAAAUAUCAUCAUUCUCCUUCCCAGAACUAGAAAAAAGAAUCCUAAAAUUUAUACAAAACCAAAAACGUGACCGCAUAUCCAAAGCAAUACUUUGCAAAAAGAACAAAUCUGAAGGCAGGCUUUAAAUUAUACUACAAGGCUACAAUCACCAAAAUAGCAUGAUACUGGUAUAAAAUAUGCACAUAGAGCAAUAGAACAGAAUAGAGAACCCAGAAAUAAAGCCAAAUGCUUACAGACAACUAAUCUUCAACAAAGUACACAAAAACAUUAAUUGGGGAAAGGAUACUUUAUUCAAUAAAUGGUGCAGGAAGUAUAAAAAUAGGCACAUAGAGCAAUGGAACAGAAUAGAGAACCCAGAAAUAAAGCCAAAUGCUUACAGACAACUAAUCUUCAACAAAGUAUGCAAAAACACUAAUUGGGGAAAGGACACUUUAUUCAAUAAAUGGUGCAGGAAGUAUAAAAAUAGGCACAUAGAGCAAUGGAACAGAAUAGAGAACCGAGAAACAAAGCCCGGUACUUUCAGUCACCUGAUCUUUAACAAAGCAUAUAAAAACUUCCAUCUAAGACCUGAAAGUCUAAAAAUGCUACAAGAUAGCAUCCAAAAAGCUUUUCUAGACAUUGGCUUAGGCCAAGUAGUCAUGACUAAUGCCCCAAAAGCAAACGCAAAAAUAUAAAAAUAGAAUAAGAUCAAUAGGACCUAAUGAAACCGAAAAUCUUCUGCAAGGCAGAAGAAAUAUCAGCAGGGUAAACACACAACCCACAGUAUAGGAAACAGUAGUCACAAACUAGGCAUCUGACAAAGGACUAAUGUCCAGACUCCAAAGGAACUGAAAGAAAUCAGCAAGAAGAAAAGGUGCCAUUUACCACCUUCCUGACUCAUUGGCCAGAACCAAUGUUAGUGGAAUUAACAUAUGCCCCACCCCAAGUGACUUCUAAAGGGCUAACUCACCACAAGGGAGUCAGAGCAGAUCUUGGACUGAGACCUACAGGACACAGCGACUCUUAAAUAGGUGGCUCACCAGGAGAAAGGCAUAGCAGAACCUGGACUGAGACCUACGGGAGACAGGCAGACACACAGGAGGUUGGACGUCGAGAGGAGCACAUCAGUGCAAGAACACAUGGGUGGCUGCCACUUCUCUCCCUUUCCUGAGAGGGAAAAACUCUCGACGCUGAGAGGAAUCCACCAACAGGCACCAGCACUCUGGCAGGCCACCGACCAAUGGAUUGACAUAGAGUUUGGCUGGGGCAGCCAGAGGAGAGCCUGGGCCGCUGAAUAACCCGACUUCAGGGGAAAACUAUUCUCCCUUUUGGCUCCCCCAUCUGCUGAGAGCUACUUCCACUCAAUAAAACCUUGCACUCAUUCUCCAAGACCACGUGUGAUUUGAUUUUUCUGGUACACCUAGGUAACAACCGCGGGAUACAGAAAGCCCUCUGUCUUUGGGUUAAGGAAUGGGUCUAAUUGAGCUGGUUACCACAAAGCCACCUAUAGAUGGCAAAACUAAAAGAGCACAUGGUACCACAUGUCCACUGGGGCUUCAGCAGCUGUAAACAUCUACCCCUAGAUGCUGCCAUGGGGUUGUAGCCCCACAACUUGCCAGUCUGUAUGCUUCCCUAGAGGUUUGAGCAGCGGAGUACUAAAGAAGCAAGCCACACCCCCACUCCACCUCCUGUGAGGGGGACAAGGAAACUUUUCCCAUUUCAACUGGUGGCUCGUCUGGGAUCUCGGAAGAUCAUCCUGGCCUGCUAAGACCCAUCCUGUGCUUAUAAAAACCCCAAGACCCUAGCAGUCAGACACACAGGAGGCUUGACGUCGAGAGGAGCACAUCAGCGGAGGAACACACAGGCGGCUGGACAUGAAGAGGAACAUGACAACAGGCACCAGCACACCAGCAGGGCACCGACUUAUAGAACGAUGUGGAUUUUGCCUGGGGCAGUCAGAGGAGAGCCAGGGCUGCUGAACGGCCCCAAUCCAGGGAGAAACCAAUCUCCUUUCUGGCUCCCCCAUCUGCUGAGAGCUACUUCCACUCAAUAAAACCUUGCACUCAUUCUCCACGUCCACGUGUGACCUGAUUCUUCUGGAAUGCCAAGGCAAGAACCCUAGGAUACAGAAAGCCCUCUGUCCUUGUGAUAAGGAAUGUGUCUAAUUGAGCUAGUUACCACAAGUUGCCUAUAAAUGGCAAAACUAAAAGACCACACGACCACUGGGGCUUCAGGAACUGUAAACAUCCACCCCUACACACUGCCAGUAUGAGAAAAAUUUGCUGAUAUGUUUUCUGCUGACCUGAUGACAAUGUUCCUAUGGUCACACUAACCACUGCUGGGUAAUUUUCAUCAUGACUCUCGUUUUCAUCUGCUGAAACCAGCCUCCCCAAGAAAGACAACUAUUUUCAAACUGAGGAAAUAAAGUGUUACUAAACCACAGUGUUCUCUCAUGGCUGUUCCUGGAGUUCUUCAAAACACUUGAUAUUAUAAAAUAGAAUUAUUACAGAUCACUGUAUGUUAUGGAUUUAGUCAAAAUGAUAAUUUAAAAUAUGGUUUAAAAUAAAAAACUUUAUUUUCCAAAGAAGAUAGUUUUUUAAACAAGAAUAUCCAAUAAAGACAGUAUGAGGUCAGCUGACUUUAGUGUUGGUGUAUGUGUAUGUGUGUGUGUG
This 7235-nucleotide long non-coding RNA is filed under the name Homo sapiens (human). Its description in RNAcentral is "HSALNT0260058". The record is from RNAcentral. Lineage: Eukaryota; Metazoa; Chordata; Mammalia; Primates; Hominidae.